Molecule: long non-coding RNA, 1097 nt
Organism: Clupea harengus (Atlantic herring)
Lineage: Eukaryota; Metazoa; Chordata; Actinopteri; Clupeiformes; Clupeidae
Source: Ensembl
AAGAGAGAAGAUGAACUGGAGAUUUGCUCUGUAACACUUAACUAACACUGACUACAUUUAAUGUGAGAACUACACUCCAUUCAGCCAAUAAUUAUCAUUGUGAGUUAGACUAACUAAUAGUUAACCGUAUAUGACAGUGACAGUUAUUUAGUCGGUGUUGAGUUACAGUUCAGAGAACUAUUAGGAGGACCUAGCAACCGCUUAGCUCUGAAUGCUAACUGGGCUCCAGCUAGCCUAGCAUUAGGUCGUUGGACAAGGGUGGCUUAUUCGGCAACCUACACAUCACAGCGUCCCUACUGCCCAGAAAACCCCAACGAGAAAGAGACAGCGGAGUCUAGGCAGUGGACAACUCUGGUCGGCAUCGUGGUGUGUGUUGAGGUCACGGGCUGUAUGAAGUCCUCGCUGUGAGACCGGUCUAACAGCAUAGGAGAUACUGAGAGUCUGGAGCCUAAACACUCUACCUGUGACAGGUAAGAGUGUGUGUACAGAUAAGAGUGUGUGACAUGUAAGAGUGUGUGUACAGGUAAGAGUGUGUGACAGGUAAGAGUGUGUGUACAGGUCCUGAAAUGUGAAAAUGGUUGCUGUCAUUCCCAUUAUUCACUGGGGGUGAAAGCAACAUGACGGACGGACGUCGUGGCACGCUAGCACAGGCGAGAUCGCCGACAGGCCCCAGCCUGCCGUGUAACGUCCUGCCUGGGAUCCAACCCCUCGCUCACACGGGCGCUACAGGUUUAGCGUACGUGAACGCCCCUGACAUGAUGUACACCUAGGCUUCGUGGCGCUGCAGGACUGGACUGGAGGGGUUGAAGGCUUCAGGGGCUUUGGAGAAAAAAGAUGUUUUACUGCAUGAGUGGUAAAUCAAGAUCACACGUGAUUUGUAAUGCGGGACAUUAAUUAGCUUUUCCUUCAAGACUGAGAAGAGUUAUGAGGGGCUUCAGAGAGGACGGUAGAGAAGCGCCUCUUACAAAUGCGGCAGUUAUAAGUUAGUUCUGGUCUUCAAGGGGGUGAGGGGGAGAUGGCGAGACUGAUAGCAACAUUUUUGUCAUCUCCUUUGAAGGAGAGCGUAUGUGUACGCAUGUAUGUUUAUUGAAGGCGAG